UUUUCUGGUGCCCAAUGUGGGGCAUGAAGGCGUCGUUUCUUCGCGUAGCUAACUCUGGGCUCCCCAGGAGCGAGCUCCCUUGCGGCUCGACGACCUUCGACGCGGCUUCCAGGAGAAACUGGCGCGGACCAGUGAUGACGUCAAAGAGCGCUCCUGGAUAUUUUUUUCCAGUGACCUCGCACUGAUCUGCGGCCAGCAGACCCUGCUGUAAGACAGACCCGAACGUCUAUUUCGGAGGCUCUCUUCUAGUACUGGGGACUAAUCAAGUCGGGGAAAAACUAGACUUCAGUAGGAACUCACGAGUAUGGCAGUCAUCUCAGGAGGAGUUUUCCAAGCUCUUGAGUUGGGGCAUGAAUCUGUUUAAAUCAUGGAUGCCUACGCUUACUGAAAAUGCUUGCCUCUUCCUCUCGCUGACCGCUGCAUAUACUGACAUUUCAACUACCAGAUUGACAUCGCUGAACAGCAGUAUAACCAUUGGGUCUACACAUCUAUGCCUCAUCACUGGCAAGGAAGAUUCCCUGUCUACACAAAGCCACUGGAUGACUCU
Python bivittatus (Burmese python) is the source of this 547-nucleotide non-coding RNA. The record is from RefSeq and is a predicted model, not a curated record. NCBI's taxonomy places the organism in Eukaryota, Metazoa, Chordata, Lepidosauria, Squamata, Pythonidae.